This 837-nucleotide ribosomal RNA is filed under the name uncultured fungus. RNAcentral describes it as "SSU rRNA". It matches the Rfam family "Eukaryotic small subunit ribosomal RNA", at positions 564 to 1430 of the family's 1831-position model. Lineage: Eukaryota; Fungi. The record is from RNAcentral.
GUGCCAGCCGCCGCGUAAUUCCAGCUCCAAUAGCGUAUAUUAAAGUUGUUGUGGUUAAAAAGCUCGUAGUUGAACCUUGGGCCUGGCUGGCCGGUCCGCCUCACCGCGUGCACUGGUCCGGCCGGGCCUUUCCCUCUGUGGAACCCCAUACCCUUCACUGGGCGUGGCGGGGAAACAGGACAUUUACUUUGAAAAAAUUAGAGUGCUCCAGGCAGGCCUAUGCUCGAAUACAUUAGCAUGGAAUAAUAAAAUAGGACGCGCGGUUCUAUUUUGUUGGUUUAUAGGACCGCCGUAAUGAUUAAUAGGGACAGUCGGGGGCAUCAGUAUUCAACUGUCAGAGGUGAAAUUCUUGGAUCAGUUGAAGACUAACUACUGCGAAAGCAUUUGCCAAGGAUGUUUUCAUUAAUCAGGAACGAAAGUUAGGGGAUCGAAGACGAUCAGAUACCGUCGUAGUCUUAACCAUAAACUAUGCCGACUAGGGAUCGGACGGUGUUAUUCAUGACCCGUUCGGCACCUUACGAGAAAUCAAAGUGCUUGGGGCUCCAGGGGGAGUAUGGUCGCAAGGCUGAAACUUAAAGAAAUUGACGGAAGGGCACCACCAGGGGUGGAGCCUGCGGCUUAAUUUGACUCAACACGGGGAAACUCACCAGGUCCAGACACAAUAAGGAUUGACAGAUUGAGAGCUCUUUCUUGAUUUUGUGGGUGGUGGUGCAUGGCCGUUCUUAGUGGUGGGGUGACUUGUCUGCUUAAUUGCGAUAACGAACGAGACCUUAACCUGCUAAAUAGCCCCGCAUUGCUCCGGCAGUGCGCUGGCUUCUUAGAGGGACUUUCGGCUCA